UACGGGGGGGGCAAGCGUUGUUCGGAAUUACUGGGCGUAAAGGGCUCGUAGGUGGCCAACUAAGUCAGACGUGAAAUCCCUCGGCUUAACCGGGGAACUGCGUCUGAUACUGGAUGGCUUGAGUUUGGGAGAGGGAUGCGGAAUUCCAGGUGUAGCGGUGAAAUGCGUAGAUAUCUGGAGGAAUACCGGUGGCGAAGGCGGCAUCCUGGACCGACAUUGACGCUGAUGAGCGAAAGCCAGGGGAGCAAACGGG
This 253-nucleotide ribosomal RNA is filed under the name uncultured bacterium. RNAcentral's name for it is "partial 16S ribosomal RNA". It matches the Rfam family "Bacterial small subunit ribosomal RNA", at positions 524 to 776 of the family's 1533-position model. The record is from RNAcentral.